Long non-coding RNA from Neofelis nebulosa (Clouded leopard), 1501 nucleotides. RefSeq lists it as uncharacterized. Lineage: Eukaryota; Metazoa; Chordata; Mammalia; Carnivora; Felidae. The transcript has 3 exons. The record is from RefSeq and is a predicted model, not a curated record.
CCAAGUUCCUGGGAAGAAGAGCACAAUGAAAACUGAACGCUCCCUCAUCUUCCUGACAGAGCAAGUGGAACAUUUCUGCAAAAAUUGUAUCACCUCCCUGAGUGAUUCCUUUGAGGAUCAAAGUGGCGUGUACAUGUCCCCUCUGUUCUCACAAGCAUUUGCUGAAUCGCGGGAUACGAUUUCUGGAACACUUAGAAAUCAUCAGGUGCCUAAACUUGGUCAGCACCUCUCUGAGAUGAAAGGCAGCUAAACUGUGAUAAACCCUCUCCUACGUGCCUCAAUGUUACAUCCACAUCCCUUGAAAAACGUCCCUGAAGACUGAAGAGAAGUGACUUGCCCAGGGGAGGCCGAGGGGCCCGGAGCCUGCCCUCUGACAGCACUCCAAGCCAAGGUCCCACCCCCCUGGGGCUGCUGGGUAAAUGCUCCUCUGUCCCUAGCCCAAAUUCAAAGAGACAGGUUUCUCCUGGAGAACAGAGCCCUGAGUUCUCCACCUUUGCCAGGUCUGUGCCCUUUUCCCACUGUGCCGAAGAAGUGUCCUGGCAGGCCGUUCUGAGUAUAGAGGAAGGAGUUCCUAGGGCCGGGCCGACAAGUCAGGCCGACCUGGGGCUGCGUCCUCCCAUCACUAUGAGCUGGGCCACCCAGGCCCAGGUCUCUUGGCCUCGGUUUCAUUAUCCAUUAGACAGGCCUAAUAAUUGAAGCCUUGUCACGGGGUUCUGUGAGGACUGAGAUGGUGCACAUGGUGUAUUUAACCCUGACCCUGGCACGUAGGAAAUACACAAACAAUAGAAAGCUACUGCGUCUGCUUUGUGGCCCCACGUAAAGUGAGAGAGGUCAGUCACAAGGCCCCUGAGCCAGUCAGCCCUGCCCUGCACGCCCAGUUGGACUCCUGAGGGGGAGGCCCUCAUCCCUCUGGGCUGGGGGAGGAAAGGAGUGGGGGGUGAGAGGCUCUUUCCCUCCCCUCACGCUUCUGGCCACAAUUCCUCUCUUGGUUCCGUCUUAUCAAAAUAGUUGGUGUCCCGAUGAUCUCUGCCCACAGGAAAUCUCUGACUAAACUUGUUCUCAGUUCUGGCUCCUCAACCGCUCACUCCAGUUCCUGAAUUUGGUUUAACAACCACACGGCAUAGCGGACCCUGGGAGCUCCAGGCAUCACAAUUGUAUCUAGUGCCUUCCUCGGCAUGCCGAGCCCUGCCCUGCUAGACACUGGUGACUGCAGAAAUGACUAAGGCCCACUCCAAGGGAAAUAGGAAAACCAGGCUCUGUCUGUGUCCUUGGAGCGAUACUACACAGGCUCUACGGGCCCCUGUUGAUGCUUCUAGAGCUCCAUUCACAUAGGAAGUGCUCAAUAAAUGCUAACUAUUUCUCAAUUUCAGUUAAUUACAUCUUUCAGUUCUAAGAUUUCCAUUUGCUUCCUUUUUUUUUUUGUAUAGUUUCUACUUCUCUGCCAAAAGUUUCCAUCUUGUCUUUUAAAUCCUUGAACACAGUAUUCAUGGUUCUUGUAAAG